Molecule: ribosomal RNA, 516 nt
Filed under: uncultured Acidobacteriota bacterium
Lineage: Bacteria; Pseudomonadati; Acidobacteriota
Description: bacterial SSU rRNA
Rfam family: Bacterial small subunit ribosomal RNA
Source: RNAcentral
UCGGGAAUUUUGCGCAAUGGGCGAAAGCCUGACGCAGCAACGCCGCGUGAGGGAUGACGGCCUUCGGUUGUAAACCUCUUUUGUUCAGGGAAGAUGAUGACGGUACCUGACGAAUAAAGCCACGGCUAACUACGUGCCAGCAGCCGCGGUAAUACGUAGGUGGCAAGCGUUGUCCGGAUUUACUGGGCGUAAAGAGCGCGCAGGCGGUCGAUUUAGUCGCGUGUGAAAGCCCCCGGCUCAACUGGGGAGGGUCACGCGAUACUGAUCGACUCGAAGGCAGGAGAGGGUAGUGGAAUUCCCGGUGUAGUGGUGAAAUGCGUAGAUAUCGGGAGGAACACCAGUGGCGAAGGCGACUACCUGGCCUGUUCUUGACGCUGAGGCGCGAAAGCUAGGGGGAGCAAAACGGGGAUUAGGAUACCCCCGGGUAGUCCCUAGCCGUAAACGAUGGACACUAGGUGUUGGUGGUAUCAACCCCGCCAGUGCCGAAGCUAACGCAUUAAGUGUCCCGCUGGGGAU